This 2906-nucleotide ribosomal RNA is filed under the name Escherichia coli. RNAcentral describes it as "23S ribosomal RNA". It matches the Rfam family "Bacterial large subunit ribosomal RNA". Lineage: Bacteria; Pseudomonadati; Pseudomonadota; Gammaproteobacteria; Enterobacterales; Enterobacteriaceae. The record is from RNAcentral.
GGUUAAGCGACUAAGCGUACACGGUGGAUGCCCUGGCAGUCAGAGGCGAUGAAGGACGUGCUAAUCUGCGAUAAGCGUCGGUAAGGUGAUAUGAACCGUUAUAACCGGCGAUUUCCGAAUGGGGAAACCCAGUGUGUUUCGACACACUAUCAUUAACUGAAUCCAUAGGUUAAUGAGGCGAACCGGGGGAACUGAAACAUCUAAGUACCCCGAGGAAAAGAAAUCAACCGAGAUUCCCCCAGUAGCGGCGAGCGAACGGGGAGGAGCCCAGAGCCUGAAUCAGUGUGUGUGUUAGUGGAAGCGUCUGGAAAGGCGCGCGAUACAGGGUGACAGCCCCGUACACAAAAAUGCACAUGCUGUGAGCUCGAUGAGUAGGGCGGGACACGUGGUAUCCUGUCUGAAUAUGGGGGGACCAUCCUCCAAGGCUAAAUACUCCUGACUGACCGAUAGUGAACCAGUACCGUGAGGGAAAGGCGAAAAGAACCCCGGCGAGGGGAGUGAAAAAGAACCUGAAACCGUGUACGUACAAGCAGUGGGAGCACGCUUAGGCGUGUGACUGCGUACCUUUUGUAUAAUGGGUCAGCGACUUAUAUUCUGUAGCAAGGUUAACCGAAUAGGGGAGCCGAAGGGAAACCGAGUCUUAACUGGGCGUUAAGUUGCAGGGUAUAGACCCGAAACCCGGUGAUCUAGCCAUGGGCAGGUUGAAGGUUGGGUAACACUAACUGGAGGACCGAACCGACUAAUGUUGAAAAAUUAGCGGAUGACUUGUGGCUGGGGGUGAAAGGCCAAUCAAACCGGGAGAUAGCUGGUUCUCCCCGAAAGCUAUUUAGGUAGCGCCUCGUGAACUCAUCUCCGGGGGUAGAGCACUGUUUCGGCAAGGGGGUCAUCCCGACUUACCAACCCGAUGCAAACUGCGAAUACCGGAGAAUGUUAUCACGGGAGACACACGGCGGGUGCUAACGUCCGUCGUGAAGAGGGAAACAACCCAGACCGCCAGCUAAGGUCCCAAAGUCAUGGUUAAGUGGGAAACGAUGUGGGAAGGCCCAGACAGCCAGGAUGUUGGCUUAGAAGCAGCCAUCAUUUAAAGAAAGCGUAAUAGCUCACUGGUCGAGUCGGCCUGCGCGGAAGAUGUAACGGGGCUAAACCAUGCACCGAAGCUGCGGCAGCGACGCUGAUGCGUUGUUGGGUAGGGGAGCGUUCUGUAAGCCUGCGAAGGUGUGCUGUGAGGCAUGCUGGAGGUAUCAGAAGUGCGAAUGCUGACAUAAGUAACGAUAAAGCGGGUGAAAAGCCCGCUCGCCGGAAGACCAAGGGUUCCUGUCCAACGUUAAUCGGGGCAGGGUGAGUCGACCCCUAAGGCGAGGCCGAAAGGCGUAGUCGAUGGGAAACAGGUUAAUAUUCCUGUACUUGGUGUUACUGCGAAGGGGGGACGGAGAAGGCUAUGUUGGCCGGGCGACGGUUGUCCCGGUUUAAGCGUGUAGGCUGGUUUUCCAGGCAAAUCCGGAAAAUCAAGGCUGAGGCGUGAUGACGAGGCACUACGGUGCUGAAGCAACAAAUGCCCUGCUUCCAGGAAAAGCCUCUAAGCAUCAGGUAACAUCAAAUCGUACCCCAAACCGACACAGGUGGUCAGGUAGAGAAUACCAAGGCGCUUGAGAGAACUCGGGUGAAGGAACUAGGCAAAAUGGUGCCGUAACUUCGGGAGAAGGCACGCUGAUAUGUAGGUGAGGUCCCUCGCGGAUGGAGCUGAAAUCAGUCGAAGAUACCAGCUGGCUGCAACUGUUUAUUAAAAACACAGCACUGUGCAAACACGAAAGUGGACGUAUACGGUGUGACGCCUGCCCGGUGCCGGAAGGUUAAUUGAUGGGGUUAGCGGUAACGCGAAGCUCUUGAUCGAAGCCCCGGUAAACGGCGGCCGUAACUAUAACGGUCCUAAGGUAGCGAAAUUCCUUGUCGGGUAAGUUCCGACCUGCACGAAUGGCGUAAUGAUGGCCAGGCUGUCUCCACCCGAGACUCAGUGAAAUUGAACUCGCUGUGAAGAUGCAGUGUACCCGCGGCAAGACGGAAAGACCCCGUGAACCUUUACUAUAGCUUGACACUGAACAUUGAGCCUUGAUGUGUAGGAUAGGUGGGAGGCUUUGAAGUGUGGACGCCAGUCUGCAUGGAGCCGACCUUGAAAUACCACCCUUUAAUGUUUGAUGUUCUAACGUUGACCCGUAAUCCGGGUUGCGGACAGUGUCUGGUGGGUAGUUUGACUGGGGCGGUCUCCUCCUAAAGAGUAACGGAGGAGCACGAAGGUUGGCUAAUCCUGGUCGGACAUCAGGAGGUUAGUGCAAUGGCAUAAGCCAGCUUGACUGCGAGCGUGACGGCGCGAGCAGGUGCGAAAGCAGGUCAUAGUGAUCCGGUGGUUCUGAAUGGAAGGGCCAUCGCUCAACGGAUAAAAGGUACUCCGGGGAUAACAGGCUGAUACCGCCCAAGAGUUCAUAUCGACGGCGGUGUUUGGCACCUCGAUGUCGGCUCAUCACAUCCUGGGGCUGAAGUAGGUCCCAAGGGUAUGGCUGUUCGCCAUUUAAAGUGGUACGCGAGCUGGGUUUAGAACGUCGUGAGACAGUUCGGUCCCUAUCUGCCGUGGGCGCUGGAGAACUGAGGGGGGCUGCUCCUAGUACGAGAGGACCGGAGUGGACGCAUCACUGGUGUUCGGGUUGUCAUGCCAAUGGCACUGCCCGGUAGCUAAAUGCGGAAGAGAUAAGUGCUGAAAGCAUCUAAGCACGAAACUUGCCCCGAGAUGAGUUCUCCCUGACUCCUUGAGAGUCCUGAAGGAACGUUGAAGACGACGACGUUGAUAGGCCGGGUGUGUAAGCGCAGCGAUGCGUUGAGCUAACCGGUACUAAUGAACCGUGAGGCUUAACCUU